GCGUGAUGCGUCCUAAGUUGUUGCAGUUAAAAAGCUCGUAGUCUAAUGUAUGGGAGUUGCGGUGUGGGUGCUUGGUUGGUUUUGCCGACUAGACAAUACUCGCUCCGCUUCCCGCUUGUUCCCUUCUCGUUUCUAAAAGGAAAAUGUUUCGCUGUUAAAAAAACUCCUCCCUCAACAAGGUUGUCUUGUUGAUAUUUAUUAUGGUGGGAUGAUAAGAUAUGCUCCCGCAUUUUGUUGGUUUUUUUGGUGUGAUGAUGAUGAUGAAGAGGGAUUGUUGGUAUUCUUAUUAUUUGUUGUAAGAGGAAUUCUUGUAGUUUUUUGGAAAGAACUACUGCUGCGCAUCUUCUACCAAUGAUGUUUUGUUGAUCAACAACGUUUGUUGAUCGAUCGAAGAUGAUUACCAUCAUCGUCUUAUAAUCAUAAUGCCGACUUGUUGCGAUUGUGUGGUGUCAUUGAUGAGAACAGCAGCACAUGAUGAUCAUCAUCUUCGUUGUCCUCCGGAGGAGUAUCGCCGCGCUGAUGAUACUUAAAUUGAUGACGGGCGCACCACGAGGGAGGAGCUGCUUCUUUGUGACUCCCCAUCAUAGUGGUGCCUUCCGUCAUUCCUUUAAGUUUCAGCCUUGCGACCAUACUCCCCCCGGAACCCAAAGACUUUGAUUUCUCAUGUGCUGCUGCUCUGCUCAUUAAAUGACACAAAACAAUCGCAAGUCGGCAUAGUUUAUGGUUUAGACUACGAUGGUAUCUAAUCAUCUUCGAUCCCCAAACUUUCGUUCUUGAUCAAUGAAAACAUCUUUGGUAGAUGCUUUCGCAUUAGUUCGUCUUUCCAAAAUCCAAGAAUUCCACCUCUGACAUGUAAAUACGAAUACCCCCAAUUGUCCCUCUUCAUCAUUCUCAGACCACUAAAACCAACAAAAUACGGACCGAGCCUAUCUCAUCAUCCCAUACUAAUUCAUAUCAAGAUAACCUUGCUGUUGAGCGAGUUGUUUUACUUACAGUGAAACAUUUCUUCUUUUAAAAAAAGAGAAAACCCGGGAGGAAGAGCAAGUAGUGCUGACUCGGCGGAACAACCAAAACACCCCCCCCGCCGCUCCUCCAAAUCAUACUACUACCAUUUUUAUUGCUGCAACUUCUUUGUAGUCUACUGGAGCAGGAAGAACUACCGCUGUGCGGCCCCCCAAAAAA
RNAcentral lists this ribosomal RNA (1182 nucleotides) under Thraustochytrium sp. 34-2. RNAcentral's name for it is "partial ribosomal RNA". The record is from RNAcentral. Lineage: Eukaryota; Bigyra; Thraustochytrida; Thraustochytriidae.